This 494-nucleotide ribosomal RNA is filed under the name uncultured bacterium. RNAcentral's name for it is "partial 16S ribosomal RNA". It matches the Rfam family "Bacterial small subunit ribosomal RNA", at positions 28 to 507 of the family's 1533-position model. The record is from RNAcentral.
GACGAACGCUGGCGGCGUGCUUAACACAUGCAAGUCGAACGGAAGGGCCUGCUUUCCCUUGUGGAUUGCGGGUACUCGAGUGGCGAACGGGUGAGUAACACGUGAGUGAUCUGCCCCCAACUUGGGUAUAAGCCUGGGAAACUGGGUCUAAUUCCCGAUAGGACUGCAGGGUGGUGCCUGUGGUGGAAAACGAUUUUCUAGUGGUUGGGGAUGAGCUCGCGGCCUAUCAGCUUGUUGGUGGGGUAAUGGCCUACCAAGGCGGCGACGGGUAGCCGGCCUGGGAGGGUGGACGGCCACAUUGGGACUGGGAUACGGCCCAGACGCCUACGGGAGGCAGCAGUGGGGAAUAUUGCACAAUGGGCGGAAGCCUGAUGCAGCGACGCCGCGUGGGGGAUGACGGCCUUCGGGUUGUAAACUCCUUUCGACCGCGAGGAAGCCACCUGGUUGGAAGGGUGGUGACGGUAGUGGUAGAAGAAGCACCGGCUAACUACGUG